AGAGUUUGAUCCUGGCUCAGGACGAACGCUGGCGGCGUGCCUAAUACAUGCAAGUCGAGCGAGCUUGCCUAGAUGAUUUUAGUGCUUGCACUAAAUGAAACUAGAUACAAGCGAGCGGCGGACGGGUGAGUAACACGUGGGUAACCUGCCCAAGAGACUGGGAUAACACCUGGAAACAGAUGCUAAUACCGGAUAACAACACUAGACGCAUGUCUAGAGUUUGAAAGAUGGUUCUGCUAUCACUCUUGGAUGGACCUGCGGUGCAUUAGCUAGUUGGUAAGGUAACGGCUUACCAAGGCAAUGAUGCAUAGCCGAGUUGAGAGACUGAUCGGCCACAUUGGGACUGAGACACGGCCCAAACUCCUACGGGAGGCAGCAGUAGGGAAUCUUCCACAAUGGACGAAAGUCUGAUGGAGCAACGCCGCGUGAGUGAAGAAGGGUUUCGGCUCGUAAAGCUCUGUUGGUAGUGAAGAAAGAUAGAGGUAGUAACUGGCCUUUAUUUGACGGUAAUUACUUAGAAAGUCACGGCUAACUACGUGCCAGCAGCCGCGGUAAUACGUAGGUGGCAAGCGUUGUCCGGAUUUAUUGGGCGUAAAGCGAGUGCAGGCGGUUCAAUAAGUCUGAUGUGAAAGCCUUCGGCUCAACCGGAGAAUUGCAUCAGAAACUGUUGAACUUGAGUGCAGAAGAGGAGAGUGGAACUCCAUGUGUAGCGGUGGAAUGCGUAGAUAUAUGGAAGAACACCAGUGGCGAAGGCGGCUCUCUGGUCUGCAACUGACGCUGAGGCUCGAAAGCAUGGGUAGCGAACAGGAUUAGAUACCCUGGUAGUCCAUGCCGUAAACGAUGAGUGCUAAGUGUUGGGAGGUUUCCGCCUCUCAGUGCUGCAGCUAACGCAUUAAGCACUCCGCCUGGGGAGUA
RNAcentral lists this ribosomal RNA (915 nucleotides) under uncultured bacterium. Its description in RNAcentral is "bacterial SSU rRNA". It matches the Rfam family "Bacterial small subunit ribosomal RNA", at positions 8 to 882 of the family's 1533-position model. The record is from RNAcentral.